This 160-nucleotide ribosomal RNA is filed under the name Pleurophragmium parvisporum. RNAcentral describes it as "Dactylaria parvispora partial large subunit ribosomal RNA". It matches the Rfam family "Eukaryotic large subunit ribosomal RNA", at positions 99 to 261 of the family's 3401-position model. Lineage: Eukaryota; Fungi; Ascomycota; Sordariomycetes. The record is from RNAcentral.
CGGCAACAGCUCAAAUUUGAAAUCUGGCCCCUAGGGUCCGAGUUGUAAUUUGUAGAGGAUGCUUUUGGCGCGGUGCCUUCUGAGUUCCCUGGAACGGGACGCCACAGAGGGUGAGAGCCCCGUAUAGUCGGACACCAAGCCUCUGUAAAGCUCCUUCGAC